CCUACGGGAGGCAGCAGUGGGGAAUAUUGGACAAUGGGCGAAAGCCUGAUCCAGCCAUGCCGCGUGUGUGAAGAAGGCCUUCGGGUUGUAAAGCACUUUCAGUGGGGAAGAAAGCCUUGGGGCUAAUACCCUCGAGGAAGGACAUCACCCACAGAAGAAGCACCGGCUAACUCCGUGCCAGCAGCCGCGGUAAUACGGAGGGUGCGAGCGUUAAUCGGAAUUACUGGGCGUAAAGCGCGCGUAGGCGGUCUGAUAAGCCGGUUGUGAAAGCCCCGGACUCAACCUGGGAACGGCAUCCGGAACUGUCAGGCUAGAGUGCAGGAGAGGAAGGUAGAAUUCCCGGUGUAGCGGUGAAAUGCGUAGAGAUCGGGAGGAAUACCAGUGGCGAAGGCGGCCUUCUGGACUGACACUGACGCUGAGGUGCGAAAGCGUGGGUAGCAAACAGGAUUAGAUACCCUAGUAGUC
RNAcentral lists this ribosomal RNA (465 nucleotides) under Vreelandella stevensii. RNAcentral describes it as "partial 16S ribosomal RNA". It matches the Rfam family "Bacterial small subunit ribosomal RNA", at positions 338 to 795 of the family's 1533-position model. The record is from RNAcentral. Lineage: Bacteria; Pseudomonadati; Pseudomonadota; Gammaproteobacteria; Oceanospirillales; Halomonadaceae.